CAACUGGUGUCUGAGAAAACCACCCCCAGAACUGUGCACCUUCCCAGAGGGACUGGGUACAUAAGAACUGUCACAUGCAAGACAUUUGCUAAGUCACAGCCACAUAGUCUGCUGUUGAGAAUGCCAACGAGUCAGAAGAGGUUUGGAAGAGGGUAUUUCAGAGGUACCCUUGAGCCAGGAGAUGACUCUUGGGGCUGUGGCUGGCCACACUCAUGAGUGCCGGGCACCUGGCUGCAGCCUGGCCUCGGGGGUGGGGUGUGGGAGUGUCAUGCCGUCUCCCUGCUCUGCUCAGGUGGCCCUGGGAGAUUGUCUCUGUUCAAGCCCUUAUAAAGGCAGGAAGAGGUGGUCUCUCUGCUGUUCUGAGCUUGUUUAUGCUCUAACAUGUCUCUGAGCUCAGAGGACCAGUCCUCUUCCUCCUUCUUCCUCGGUGCCUCCCUCCAAUUCUGGGGAAAACAAGUGGACUAUUCAUGUAAAAAGAGAAAGAGUAAGGAGGGGGGAGAUGCCACCGACAAACUCCAUUGAAAGCCACUGGCUGUUCAUUUACAUUCACACUUUUAAAAAAUGUUAACUAAUGAUGUUAAAUGGUUUGCCAAAGGUCCUGGCAGGUCAGUUGUAGAAGUGUCAUUUCUGCCUAAUUAGGGCUCUUGUGGCUGCCCGGGGCCUCCCAGUGCAACUGGUGACAAGCGAGAGCUGACAGCUUCAAUUGGUGCCAAUAGGAAGGUUGGACCGGUCAUGUUUUCCAACUCAGCCAGGUGUUUGCUGAAUGGGGGAGGGGGCUUGGCGAGAUCUGAGCGCUUCUAUGAUCCUUUUUCUUUCACGACCCCCUCCCAAGUCCUUCCCCUUUGCCUGUCUUGUCUUGUGUCAAGGUCAAGAAUGGGCUUUGCUAAAUCAGCAAUUUGGGUUAUCUCUGGGAGGUCAUUAGCAGUCCCAGCCCAGACUGUUUCAAGUGGUCUCAGACCCCAGAUGCUAGGUUUUUUUUUUUCUCCCUAAAAAUCAGAGAGCAGGAAAAGAAAAGGAAUGCUUUGGGUAAUAAACAACAGCAGCAAGAAAAAAAACAAAACAAAAAUCUACACAGAAAGCUCUUGGUACCCAUUAAAGUGUUAAACUUCUGAGGACGUUGCAAAUAAUAAAACUGCUUAAAGGGAAAACUGAAGUAUUCUGAUCCCUACCUUAAAUAUCUGAAGAAAGAAAAGAUGACAAUGAAAAAAACAUCCUAGAAGGUUUGCUGGAUUGGACAGUACCUGUCUCAUAGUAGGUGCUCACUAAAUAGUUUCUUGUUUGAUUUGAUUUUUCAGGAGAAAAAUGAUGCCUGAGAGACAAAUAAUGAUUGUUAGAGAUGAGGUUCUCCUGAUAACUUCUGAUAAAUAUUGUGAAGUGCUCUUUGAAUUUCUUACUUGACCAUAAAGUACCUGCAGAGGCUGCAGCAACUACAACACAAGGAGAUGGUCCCAUGACGGUGAUGGGACACCUGUGCCAGCUUCGGCGGGUCCUGCAGGGAUGAUGGCUCUCCUUUGCUGGGUCUGAGCAAAUUCACGUGUACAUUCAGUGGGUCUGUGAACCACGAUGACAGGAUUCCCACAAGGGCAUCUGGGGAGGGAUGCUGCAUUAAAAUUAAAGGAAAGCAUGAAAUGGAAAA
Ictidomys tridecemlineatus (thirteen-lined ground squirrel) is the source of this 1636-nucleotide non-coding RNA. NCBI's taxonomy places the organism in Eukaryota, Metazoa, Chordata, Mammalia, Rodentia, Sciuridae. The record is from RefSeq and is a predicted model, not a curated record.